UACAGUUUUGGUCCUAAACUUGCCGUUGUUUUUUACCAGAAUUAUACAUGCAAGUCUCCGCACACCAGUGCAAACGCCCACUAAUCCCCCUAAACAGACAGCUGGAGCAGGUAUCAGGCACACCAAAGUCAAGCCAACAACACCAAGCUUCGCCACACCCACACGGGUCAUCAGCAGUAAUUGAUAUUAAGCAAUAGGCGAUCUCAAGCCUGACUUAGUCACGGUACAUUAGGGUUGGUUAAUUUCGUGCCAGCCACCGCGGUUAUACGAAAAACCCGAAACAACGGCCUUCGGCGUAAAGCGUGGCAAGAACUUUUGCCAAAAAAUUAAUGGAAAACUUAACCAAAGCUGUAAAACGCCACGGUAUAUAAGAACAACAACUAUGCCAUUAAGCCACUAAGGCUACUCGAACCCACGAAAGCUAAGAAACAAACUGGGAUUAGAUACCCCACUAUGCCUAGCCAUUAACACAGACAGCUAAACAACAACGCUGUCCGCCAGAGAACUACAAGCAAAAAACUAGAAACUCUAAGGACUUGACGGUGCUCCACACCUACCUAGAGGAGCCUGUCCUAUAAUCGAUACCCCACGUUAAACCCUACCGCCCCUAGCAUAAACCAACCUAUAUACCGCCGUCGCCAGCCUACCUUAUGAAAGAACAAUAGUAAGCAAAACAGUAAGCACUAACACGUCAGGUCAAGGUGUAGUAAAUGAGGCGGAAGAGAUGGGCUACAUUUCCUAAAAUAGAAAACACGAACAGCAAGAUGAAAUACUUGCUAGAAGGAGGAUUUAGCAGUAAGACAAAAAACUUUUUUUAUCUUAAGACAGCUCUGGAGCGCGCACACACCGCCCGUCACCCUCCUCAA
Molecule: non-coding RNA, 866 nt
Filed under: Acontias meleagris (Linnaeus' lance skink)
Lineage: Eukaryota; Metazoa; Chordata; Lepidosauria; Squamata; Scincidae
Description: partial 12S ribosomal RNA
Rfam family: Bacterial small subunit ribosomal RNA
Source: RNAcentral